This 74-nucleotide transfer RNA is filed under the name Vreelandella subglaciescola. RNAcentral describes it as "Halomonas subglaciescola tRNA". It matches the Rfam family "tRNA". From Rfam's summary of the family: Transfer RNA (tRNA) molecules are approximately 80 nucleotides in length. Their secondary structure includes four short double-helical elements and three loops (D, anti-codon, and T loops). Lineage: Bacteria; Pseudomonadati; Pseudomonadota; Gammaproteobacteria; Oceanospirillales; Halomonadaceae. The record is from Rfam by way of RNAcentral.
GCGCCUAUAGCUCAGCUGGAUAGAGUAUCGGCCUCCGAAGCCGAGGGUCGCAGGUUCGAAUCCUGCUGGGCGCA